GUUGUAUACCGAAGCUGAUGAGCUGAUCCGACUUCUUUGAGUCCUCGAUGUCUAAAGGUAUAUAAAAUUGUUCGCAAACUUGAUGAAAAUGUUGUGAUAAAGAUGGAGCGUGGUAUUGUGGGCGAUGUUGACUAUCCCUUACAACUUGACCCGUUGGAGAUUAUGCGUUUCUUAAGGAUGGAGACAUUAGAUGUUUCCAUAUUGCAGUUCUUUAUAAGGGGUCUUUAUGACAAAUUUGAUUUGGCAUCACAGACCACAUA
Long non-coding RNA from Ipomoea nil (Japanese morning glory), 260 nucleotides. RefSeq lists it as uncharacterized. The transcript has 3 exons. NCBI's taxonomy places the organism in Eukaryota, Viridiplantae, Streptophyta, Magnoliopsida, Solanales, Convolvulaceae. The record is from RefSeq and is a predicted model, not a curated record.